UUUCCCUUUUAAUUUUUCAUCCCUCAGCAUUUUACCUCCACCGUUGGAUCAACAUGAUCCAACGACCCCCGUUUUAUCCCAUUUAAACCUUUUCUUUUCUUUUUCUCCCCAAAAAUCUGGAUUCGUUGAUCAAUGAAAUCCAACGUCUCUCAUCCAGUCUCUCUGUUUAAUUAGCCAACCCCUUCCCAAACCCUAAUCAUUCCUUCAGAGAUCAGCCGCCUCUCUUUCCCCUUCGUCUCUCUUUUCUCUCCUCCUCUCACCAGCUGCUAAGGAGGACCACUUGGUUUGCUGUUCCGAAGAAGGUCAGUAGAUCACCGACCCGCUCCUUAAUUAUUUAAGUGUUCAUGUAUUAUUAUGUAGUUUCAUUGGUUUGGUAUUUUUCUGUUGAUUCUUCUUCAUGAUAUUCAUUGGUCAAAUGUGACCUUCAACUGUGUUUUGCUGCUUGUGUUAUUCUUUGUUUAAUUAAUUGAUAAAUCCUUCUAAAAUUAUGAUUACCUCCUAUGUUGUUGUUUCAGUCGAUAUUUUAUGAUUAGAUUUUGUUUUUUCUCAUAUUGAUAUUAUCACUAGGUGUAGUGCUUAACUAAAUGAAACAACAUUAUUAUGAUCCUUAUCCUGUUAACUUUCUAUAUUAAUCUUUGUGUUGGCAGCCUGUUUGAUCCCUGUUAUGGCUCUGUUAAUUAGGUGACACUUACUGAUUUCCAUGCUUAUAUUAUCAUAUUGAUGGAAUGAUACCUAUGAACCUUCAUGCCACCUUGUUUAAUCAACUAAGUGAUUGUUAUGCCUAUACUAUCAUAUUACUAUGUUGGAAAAAAAUUCUUACCAUGUUGCUUCUGUGAAUAGCUAAUUGAAUGAUCCCCUUGGUUCUCUUGCCUAUACCACCAUGUUAUGAUUUUCAUCAUGAUGUUUUGAUUGGUUAGUUGAAUGAUUCCCACUGUCAGUCAUGUUCAUAGUAUUAUGUUGUGAUCCAUCUGUUAGUUUAUCAUGGUAGCUUGAGUAAAUAGAUGUUAACUUGUAAAUUACAUAUCCACUCUACCUAGAUUAGUUGUGAAUAAGCAUUCUUGUCAUCUCAUUCCUAUAUGGUAUUUGAAAACUCUCCAUAGGAUCUUUCUACAAUGUGUGAAGACAUUGUUGGAUCUGGUAACUUAAACGAGUAUUAUUCAUCCUCAAUGUGCAUUAUCAUGUUUACAUGCAUGCCUAUAGGAUCUAAAUGGUGAGACUAGAAUUUGACCAUUCUACUAAUGUUUAAUUCUCUCAUAUGUUUUCACUAUUAGUAAUGACUCCUUUAAAAUAAUUUUGAGUAAGAUGCCAACAUAAAUUCUUAGUGUGACAUAAAAAUCUCAACUAUGUGCUUUUUGUUUGAUGUUAAAAGAAGCUGCUCUUAGGCUAUUUUGGUGUUCUAUAACUUAUUUGGAUAAUUGAAAAGACAACUCAGUCUGAUCAGAUUCCUAAAAAGCAUUAGAUCUCUGAUAAAGUUAGUAAAUUAGUGCAUAUGUGUUUUGCUAACUACUGAUGCCUUAAUAUUUGUAGUGGCAAUCUUGAAAUUGAAAUUGUAAGUACCAGAGCCUAUCUACAGGAGCAUAUAGUUAGUCAUUUGUAACCUCUACUCGAUUGUGUUUCAGUAGUGAUUCUCAAGAGUGUUCUGUAAGUGUUGUGCUACAUGAAAUGGUUUAGAACAAACCAUUAAGCCUUUGAAACUAUUAAAACUUUGAGAAUUCGCAUGUGGUGACCUAUCUUUAUAUAUUGUGUUCUGAUAAAUAGUUUUAAGAUCAAGCUUGUACUAGUUCUUGGUUGCGUAGUAUUUUUGUACUCCAAUGAUGACUGCAAUUCCUAAUAUGGUUGUUUGUUCCAAGUGGUUGGUAUUUCUGUAUGGCUGAAUCUUUGAAAGGUCUUAUGAUGAACCUUCUGUACUUAUUUGUUUCAUGCUGACUAUGUGAGACUGUCACGUUGAGAUUCCCUUGUAUCUAAACCUCUGUAGAAUAUUAAGGUUCAGUACUUACGGGUGUUUGGUGUGGGCUUGACUUUACCAUUAAGGGACCUCUCCCUGACACAAGCACUGCUCGGGGGCCCAAGAAACCCUCGUGAACUCUGAAGUGCUCGGGAUCCAUAGAGGAACCUUAUAAGUAAAUAUGGUUCACCCUAAGCCCAAAAUUGCAGACCUUAAUUAAUCUUCGAGGGAUUAGCACAAAAGAAAUUUAGCUUUGUUAUAUUAAGAUUAUGUUUAUUGUAAACUUUAUCCUAAUUCAUUUUAUUCUGCAUAUGCUAAUUAAUUCGUUCUCUUUUUCUUUGCAUGAUUGUUGGGCCUGCUGAAUUCAUUGGAAACUCAGGCUCAAGUUCAAAGAACUAGGUUACCCCCUUGCCGUAUGCUGAAGUUUGCUGCCGCUAGAGCCUAGCGGGGCCUAACUAAUUAGUCAGCCUAAUAUGAGAGUCCAAUUUUCUUUCCCUUCAUUUGAAGCGAUUAUUAUUGUUAUCUUAUUUAUGUAUAUAUACUAACAUUGAUAUUGGAUGCUUACCUAUUUUUACUUUAACCAUUUAGGAAGACUUUAGGCCAAUCAAACUAAUAAAGUAACUGUGACCUGAAGGGUAAUCGCUCUAAUAUUCAUAACAUUUUUUGGAAAUUGAAUGCCCUUUUAUACUAACUGUUUAACAAAUAAUGAUUCUUCUGUUUACUUACUUUUUUUCUAGUGAGUUUUUUUUUGGUUUUUAGGCCCUGGCAAAAAUUGAAUAAGCUUAAAUAAGAAUGUCCCUUUGAAAAGUUUAAAAACAAGUCGCCUAGUCAACUAAACAUCUAGACUGUUUUAAGUAAAAGAAGUAAGCGCGCCACACCUAGUUAGAUCUGAUUUUUCAAGAACAAAAC
This 2854-nucleotide long non-coding RNA is filed under the name Nicotiana tabacum (common tobacco). RNAcentral's name for it is "long non-coding RNA (NTAB_LNC009867)". The record is from RNAcentral. Lineage: Eukaryota; Viridiplantae; Streptophyta; Magnoliopsida; Solanales; Solanaceae.